AGUGAUUGUGAAUAUAAAAUAUCUUCUUACAAAAGAGGAAUGAGGGAAGAUGGAGAGAAACUAAUGUGUUGAUAAGCCUCUGACUCAAACAACGCGGUGCUUCUGGCAAAGUGACCAGCUGACAACCUAGAAGGAAAGUAACUUCUGCAAAAACUUUGCGGAGUGCUAUGUGAUAUUUGCUGGGGGGUGAUGAAGGAAGAUGCCUGGAUUUGGAGAGUCUGACAGCUGGAGCUUCCAUCCCGGCUGAGGGCUCCAACAAAGACCCGGCGUGUGCUGCCAGGAGAUUCGGAGAGGGUUUGAAAGGAGUCCUGCC
RNAcentral lists this long non-coding RNA (313 nucleotides) under Gallus gallus (chicken). RNAcentral's name for it is "lncRNA (ENSGALG00010026314.1)". The record is from RNAcentral. Lineage: Eukaryota; Metazoa; Chordata; Aves; Galliformes; Phasianidae.